GACGAACGCUGGCGGCGUGCCUAAUACAUGCAAGUCGAACGCACAGUUUAUACCGUAGCUUGCUACACCAUAGACUGUGAGUUGCGAACGGGUGAGUAACGCGUAGGUAACCUGCCUGGUAGCGGGGGAUAACUAUUGGAAACGAUAGCUAAUACCGCAUAAUAUUAAUUAUUGCAUGAUAAUUAAUUGAAAGGUGCAAUUGCACCACUACCAGAUGGACCUGCGUUGUAUUAGCUAGUAGGUGAGGUAACGGCUCACCUAGGCGACGAUACAUAGCCGACCUGAGAGGGGGAUCGGCCACACUGGGACUGAGACACGGCCCAGACUCCUACGGGAGGCAGCAGUAGGGAAUCUUCGGCAAUGGACGAAAGGCUGACCGAGCAACGCCGCGUGAGUGAAGAAGGGUGUCGGAUCGUAAAGCUCUGUUGUAAGAGAAGAACGGGUGUGAGAGUGGAAAGUUCACACUGUGACGGUAUCUUACCAGAAAGGGACGGCUAACUACGUG
RNAcentral lists this ribosomal RNA (505 nucleotides) under uncultured bacterium. RNAcentral describes it as "partial 16S ribosomal RNA". It matches the Rfam family "Bacterial small subunit ribosomal RNA", at positions 28 to 507 of the family's 1533-position model. The record is from RNAcentral.